RNAcentral lists this ribosomal RNA (379 nucleotides) under uncultured cyanobacterium. RNAcentral's name for it is "bacterial SSU rRNA". It matches the Rfam family "Bacterial small subunit ribosomal RNA", at positions 376 to 770 of the family's 1533-position model. The record is from RNAcentral. Lineage: Bacteria; Bacillati; Cyanobacteriota.
CGCCAGCCUGACGGAGCCAGACCGCGUGGGGGAGGAAGGCCCUUGGGUUGUAAACCCCUUUUCUCAGGGAAGAAGUUCUGACGGUACCUGAGGAAUCAGCCUCGGCUAACUCCGUGCCAGCAGCCGCGGUAAUACGGAGGAGGCAAGCGUUAUCCGGAAUCAUUGGGCGUAAAGCGUUCGUAGGCGGCUGUUCAAGUCUGCUGUCAAAGACCGAGGCUCAACCUCGGGUCGGCAGUGGAAACUGGAUAGCUAGAGGUCGGUAGGGGCAAAGGGAAUUCCCAGGGUAGCGGUGAAAUGCGUAGAUAUCGGGAAGAACACCAGAGGCGAAAGCGUUCUGCUGGGCCGCACCUGACCCUGAGGGACGAAAGCCAGGGGAGCG